UUAUAAUAUUAUAACAUGAGAGACAAAUUACUUGGGGAAAAAACACCGUGGAUGCAGCCUGGGAUUGGAGUAGGUGAUGGAGGGGGUGGCGGUAGAGGAGGAAGAGGAGGAAGAGGUGGAGGAGGAGGAGGAGGAGGAGGAGGAGGGGGUGGUGGUGCAACCCACGUGGCUGGUAUAGCCGACGAUGAGGCACCGAAAGAUCCAGGUGCUCGUAUCACCCACCAAUCCUACACCGAGAAGGAUUACGAAGGUCACCGAGCACACACGGUCUAUGUGGGUGUACAUUUACCCGGAGAGAGAAGACACCGUCGUCAUCAUAAACACCAUCAUUCCCAACGGCAAUCUUAUGGGGAGAGUAACGAUGAUACCGACAACGACAGACCCAACAUUGCAGGACAAUUGGUGAUGAAGCGCAGGUCUCGUCUCGCGAGCAUUUGCGACCCCGACGGCGAGAUGAUAUUCACGCCACCGGCCCAGAGAGUGCAAUUUAUUCUCGGCGAGGAAGUCGGGGACGAUGCUCACGAAUCGCAUCCUCUAUUUUCCGAAAUGGAAGAACUUGUCAAGGAUGGAGAUGAAAUGGAAUGGAAGGAAACCGCUAGGUGGAUCAAAUUUGAGGAAGACGUUGAAGAAGGUGGAAACAGGUGGAGCAAACCACACGUAGCAACGUUAUCGUUACACUCGCUCUUCGAAUUGAGAAGUUUACUUUUGAAUGGAACUGUUAUGCUUGACAUGGAAGCCAACAGUCUCGAACAGAUAACUGAUUUGGCUUUGGAUAACAUGAUCAAUAAAGGUUCACUACCGAUCGAGACUCGAGAAAAGGUAAGAGAAGCACUUUUGGUGAGACAUCGACAUCAGCACGAAAGACGCAAGGACAACAAUAUGUCGAGAUUACCGAUUAUCAGAUCCUUGGCAGAGAUCGGCCGUAAUCAUUCGUCCUCGAAGAAAAACGGCUGUACAUGUGGUAUGCAUGCCUUGUUGACAUCAGAUUUGCAGGAGCGUCGUGAACCCGGGGACGCCUAUGCGCCCUCAGUUGGCCGUAGCAGCAGUUGUCCGAACUCAAACACGGCCCUUCUUUCGAAAGAAGCUAAAGAUCUCAAAGGGCCUUACCUUCUGGUACCAGCCGAAAUCGGCAUACCCCACGUGGUGGGAUUUACGGCGUGGUUCGCCAUGUGUCAGCUGAAAGGACAAGAACCAGGUGCCAACGGAAUCGAUCGAAGUCCUAGCAGCGUUUCGAUCAGCAGAAAUCAUAGUUCUUCCGCUUUGGAAAAUGGGGAUGCCAAUCAUCGGGGUAAUACACAUUUUAUGAGAAAAAUACCAGCGGGGGCGGAAGCCAGUAACAUUCUCGUAGGGGAAGUUGAUUUUCUUGACAAGACCUUGUCCGCCUUCAUACGACUCAGUCAAGCAGGAAUAAUGGGUGAUCUUACGGAGGUACCCGUUCCAACGAGAUUUAUUUUCGUACUUUUAGGACCCAUGGGUGGAAUUUCGGGUUUCCAUGAAAUUGGACGAGCAAUGGCGACGUUAAUGUCCGACGAGGUCUUCCACGAUGUCGCUUACAAGGCCAAAAAUAGGAAUCACCUUCUUGCCGGUAUUGAUGAGUUUCUAGAUGCUGUUACCGUUUUACCACCGGGCGAAUGGGAUCCUACGAUUAGAAUCGAACCGCCAGCUGCCAUUCCGUCGCAAGAAGUUAGGAAAAGACCGAAAGAGGAAAAACCUAAAGAAGAAGUUGACGAAGAAGCCGACGAACAAAAGCAAAGAGAGGAAUCUGGUUUGUCGAGAACUGGAAGAUUAUUUGGUGGGCUGAUAAACGAUAUCAAAAGAAAAGCGCCAUUUUACUUUUCCGAUUUCAAAGACGCUUUAGCAUUGCAAUGCGUCGCAUCCUUCAUUUUCUUAUAUUUUGCCUGUCUGUCGCCUAUCAUCACUUUCGGUGGUCUACUCAGCGAAGCUACGGGAAAAAACAUGGCCGCUAUGGAAUCAUUGGUCUCAGGUUUCGUUUGCGGACUCGGAUACGGAUUUUUCUCCGGACAACCGUUAACCAUUCUUGGAUCAACCGGUCCCGUAUUGGUCUUCGAGACAAUCGUAUUUGAAUUUUGCAAACAAUCCGAUUGGAAUUACAUGUCAUUUCGUUUCUGGAUCGGCACGUGGACCGCCAUCAUUUUGUUAACCCUCGUCGCCCUUGACGCGAGCGCCUUCGUCUGCUACAUAACUCGUUUUACGGAAGAAAAUUUUGCCACCCUCAUCGCUUUCAUUUUUAUUUACAAGGCUGUGGAAAACGUCCUCUCGAUUGGCAAAAAGUAUCCCAUAAAUACUCACGCCAACGAUCACUUGGCUUACGAUUGUUGGUGCAAACCACCGAACGAUAGUUCGCUUUACGGCACUGAGAACGUCAAUUGGACGAAUAUGAAUCGGACUACGUGCCAGAUUUACAAUGGCACGCUGAUGGGAGAUAGUUGUAACAUACAGCAACCUGUACCCGAUGUGUUCCUCAUGUCAAUUAUCCUUUUCAUGGGCACCUUCUUGUUAUCCAUCGAGAUGAAGGACUUUAAGAAUGCUCUUUUCUUUCCAUCUAAGGUCAGACAAGUGGUCAGCGAUUUUGCGGUUAUAAUAGCAAUCUUUUCUAUGUCCUUGUUGGAUCACUUCGUGGGUAUCCCAACGCCAAAGUUAGAAGUACCUGAAGAAUUCAAACCGACCUUGGAUGGCCGGGGAUGGAUGAUUUGGCCUUUUCAGAAUAAUCCAUGGUGGAGCGCCAUCGUGGCUAUUCUACCAGCUCUCUUGGGCACUAUAUUGAUCUUUAUGGAUCAACAGAUCACAGCGGUGAUCGUUAAUAGAAAAGAAAAUAAAUUAAAGAAAGGAUGCGGCUAUCAUCUGGACCUUUUUAUCCUGGCGAUCCUGAUCGAAAUCUGUUCGGUUAUGGGAUUACCAUGGUUCGUAGCUGCCACGGUGCUUUCGAUAAAUCACGUUAACUCGUUGAAAUUGGAAUCGGAGUGCGCGGCACCAGGGGAAAAACCACAAUUUUUAGGUGUCAGAGAACAGAGAGUUACGCACAUACUGAUCUUCUUAAUGAUCGGUUGCUCCGUUUUACUGACGCCAAUGUUAAGACACAUACCAAUGCCAGUACUGUUCGGUGUCUUCCUUUAUAUGGGUGUUGCGUCUUUAAAAGGAUUACAAUUCUUCGAUAGAAUACUCAUCAUGCUUAUGCCGGUGAAGUACCAACCAGAUUAUAUGUUCCUUCGGCAGGUGCCAUUAAAACGCGUCCACAUUUUCACGGCUAUACAAUUGACUUGUCUGGCGUGUCUUUGGAUCAUCAAAUCGUUUAGCACCACAUCCAUUUUAUUCCCAUUGAUGCUCGUGGUGAUGAUCGGAAUUCGAAAAUCUUUGGAUUUCGUUUUUACUCAACGCGAAUUGAAGAUACUCGACGACGUGAUGCCGGAACCAAGCAAGAAACAUGCCGACGAUCUUCGCCAAUUGGAAAGCGGCGAGGAACAUCCAAAUUAUCCAAUCGGUUAUGGACCACCGGAAAAUAUUCAAAUAUCUUUGGCGAAUGGAAAUAUUAUGAAGAUUCCACUGGCUAGCAUCAAUAUCAGCGAGGAAGUUAAUAAAACUGGAAUUUGGCAACAAGUUAAUGAAAGUAACGAGAAAAAAAAACCUAAACAAUCUAAAUUAAUGAACGUAAGCAAAUCGAAGAAACACUCAAAGAAGGAGGGCUCGUUGCUGGUCGAUGAGACAACAAGGCUGACAACUAUGACCGAGGAGGAGGAGGAUGACACUGGCAUAUCGAUCAAGGUGACGAGCGUAAAUGACUCUAAAUUCUAACAAGCAUCAUCACAGCAAGACACACAGCAAGAGCACCAAUACACCGGCAUGCGACAUGUACCCAUGUACCACAGCUGUAGAUCUGAUAAGAUCGAAGGAGAGUAUCGGCCCAGUGAAAGUAAAUGGCACUACAUCGGCAGAAACAUCUGUUUAACGAUUACGAU
This 3974-nucleotide unclassified non-coding RNA is filed under the name Polistes canadensis. RNAcentral describes it as "sodium bicarbonate cotransporter 3, transcript variant X11". Lineage: Eukaryota; Metazoa; Arthropoda; Insecta; Hymenoptera; Vespidae. The record is from RNAcentral.